This is a non-coding RNA of Myotis davidii, 73 nucleotides long. Lineage: Eukaryota; Metazoa; Chordata; Mammalia; Chiroptera; Vespertilionidae. The record is from Rfam.
GGCGGUUCUUAGGUGACACACCCCGGAAUCGGGCUCCCUCCUCUGGUUCCAGGUGCGUCACCCAAGAACCGCA